AACGAACGCUGGCGGCAUGCCUAACACAUGCAAGUCGAACGCUCAUCUUCGGAUGGGAGUGGCGCACGGGUGAGUAACGCGUGGGAACCUGCCCUGGGGUGGGGAUAACCGAUGGAAACGUCGGCUAAUACCGCAUACGUCCUGAGGGAGAAAGAUUUAUCGCCCUGGGAGGGGCCCGCGUCGGAUUAGCUAGUUGGUGGGGUAACGGCCUACCAAGGCGAUGAUCCGUAGCUGGUCUGAGAGGAUGAUCAGCCACACUGGGACUGAGACACGGCCCAGACUCCUACGGGAGGCAGCAGUGGGGAAUAUUGGGCAAUGGGCGCAAGCCUGAUCCAGCAAUGCCGCGUGAGUGAUGAAGGCCUUAGGGUUGUAAAGCUCUUUCGGCGGGGACGAUGAUGACGGUACCCGCAGAA
This 413-nucleotide ribosomal RNA is filed under the name uncultured bacterium. Its description in RNAcentral is "bacterial SSU rRNA". It matches the Rfam family "Bacterial small subunit ribosomal RNA", at positions 29 to 486 of the family's 1533-position model. The record is from RNAcentral.